Long non-coding RNA from Apus apus (common swift), 4617 nucleotides. RefSeq lists it as uncharacterized. The record is from RefSeq and is a predicted model, not a curated record. The transcript has 4 exons. NCBI's taxonomy places the organism in Eukaryota, Metazoa, Chordata, Aves, Apodiformes, Apodidae.
CCAUCUUGCGGCUGCCUGAGGGCCGCGGUGCUGUGGGGAGCGGAGAACGAGGCCGGGGGGGGGUUCUCCCUCUUGAGGGAAAGGCACCAUCAGCCCCCAAAGCCCCUCCGAGCUGGCUCGGAGAGAUGUGCUCUGCGCGGGGCGGGGGGCGGCGGCAUCCUCUGAGGUGAGGGGCGAGCGGACUCGCCUGAGAGACUCCUCAAAACACCUCAGAUGUUGUGAGAAAUUGCAACCAGGAGUAACUGCAGUCCCUGUAUCCUCUUUUCAAGAUGAACCACGCUGUUGUGAUGAAGAACAGUUCUAAUGGAAACAGCAGCAUACAAAUGCACAUUUUCUACAUUUUUAAGAAGCUCCAGCUCUAAAUCUACUGAAGUGGAAGACUCAGCUCUGCACUAACACACACAGUCAAGACCUACAACAAAUAUCUACAGCCAUCCACAUGACAGCCACAGAACCCAGCAGAAAGACCACAGACUGUAUCUCAUCAACUCUAUGUUGAUCUGUGGGAGCUUUCCUUACUGGUGCCACCACUGUCUAUACUCAACAACUGUACAUUUCCCUGACAAUAUGAUACCAUGUUCAACUGUCCCAUUCUUCUGAGCUCCAUGUUAAUAAGCCUGCAUGUGACUGCAGACACAUCCCCACUGUUAAGGAGAGGUGCAUGGCACUGCCCCAGUGAGAACACUGCUAAGUGGCUAAAAGGAACAUCAUAGUAAGUGAAACUGGGUGUAUAAUAUGCCUUUUGGGAUAAAGAAAUUAAUUUGAGUCCCUUCUAUAUAGACUUUCCAUUACCAGGAAUAAAAUUUAAAAACUGUCUCUUUAACUGGGAAAAAUAUACCAUUUAAAUGAUAAGAAAAACUAUUAGUAUAUUCCUUCCUUAGUGUCCAUUCCUAUGAACUCUUUCUUCAACAAGCAUUUGCUUGCUAGACAAGUGAUGAAUAUUUCAGAUGUCCUUUCAAAAUAAACACAGAGAACCUAAUACAGUAUUUAUGGCACAGAAGAAUUUCCUUAAUGACUCCUCCUACAAUAACCAGAAAGGAGCACUGAAACACAAGUGUGGAAAGUGACAAAUAGUAAAUGAAAGCUACAGUAUGUUAGUAGGUAUCACUUUUAGUCUUAAUUUUUUUAUCUGUCCCAGCCUGUUUUCUAGAGGCAAGCAUUGUUUAUUUUCACCCUGUACAGAAGAAUUUGUAAAUAUGCUGGUCCUACGAAGCAGAAUUAGAAAGGGAAUUAGUCUGCCAAGUAAAGAAAUGUGCAUCUAUUAAGCUUUGGAAUAUCUGAGAAAUACUAACUCCAUGUAUUCUUGAAAGACAGUACUAGAAAUCCUCCUCUAAGAAAGUUUACAACACCAUUUGAAGCAAAACACAAAGAAAAAAAUUAUUAAAAUGUUGAAAGUGCCACUAGUCAUAUGCCGUCAGUCACUACCAAUCAUUAACAGGCUGAAGUUACAAUUCAAUAGACAGGACAGUACCACCUUACACAGCAGUCCCACCAACAGCAGAAGCCAGGUUAGAGUCUUUUACUAAAUCUUCUAAGUCUAAAAAUGCUCUUGUAAAGAAGUCUGCCAAUUAUGCAGCUUUUUUGGAGCUUACUGCAGCUGACAGAAGAUCACCAACCUCCCUCCUCCCCUUCAAAUAACAAAGCAAAACCCCACCAACCCCAACCUUGACAUUUCAUGAGAUGCCUUCAGGGGCAUCCAUGCUUACUUGGUGCAUGCAAGUGCAUAAAUUAAGAAAUACACUUCAGCACCACAAAACAAAGACAAGUACUAGAAAACACAAAAGAACAAUACCUAAAACUAAAGAGGAAAACACUGCAGAAUCAAAUCAGCAAAGGAAAAGUUAAAGCAGAAAUAAACACAAGUCCAACGACUAACACAUGAAAACAGACAAGCCUUUCCAGUUUGGAGCCAAGGAAAAAAAAAAACACAACACUUCAGAAGGCUUUUUGGAAUGACAGCAUCAUAUUACAUAGCAACCUGCCCUGCCAUCAAAUCAAAACCAGUAGUGAAACGCACUCAAGUAGAAGAAUCUGAAGACCUGCACUGAAACCCUACUGUAGGUGGACACCUCGUACGAUAUACCUGCCUGUCACCCAAGAUGAUGAUUUCCACACUCUGACAAGUGUCACACCAAUCACACGUUGCAAAGCUGAAGGACUCAUUUGCAAACAGUCCAUAUUUCUCACGCUACUAUCAGCUGAACCACACAAAACACUGAAUGAACAAACGCUGAAGUUUUAACUCCACCCAGGUGCUACGAGAGCAGCAGUAACCGAGCAACUAAACGCAUAUCCCUGACAUAAGGAAAAACGCUAAUUUUUGAUGGAUUAAUUUAUUUAAUUAAAGAAAAAAAGCACUUGCUAGUGUUGUACAAUUUCUGUUAGCAUACAGGAAGGUUUGCAGAGUUUGCACAAGUGCUUCCACAUGAGAAGACAGACACCCUUGAGGCUGGACAUACUCGCAAGUCAAAUAAGGUCAUUUGCUUCUUGCCUAAUCUUAACCUUGCUUUGUCUUACAAAAUUGUAACUCCUUUAAGCAAGUUUCUGUAAUACGUAACAGUGAAGACAAAACUACUGAGAGACUGGAAUGUUUUCAAGUAAAAUUACACUACAGCUAUUCCACUUUUAUCAAAUCCUUUACACCCGAGAACUUCUGAAAUUUUAAUGUACUGAAGCAAUACUAAACUAUCUGAUGUUACAUUUAGCUGGUACAAGAACACAGUCCUACAAAUAAGUUCAACAACUUUUUCUUCUCUCUUUUUUCCUCAGCUCCAUCUUACAUGUACCAUUCAUCUUACUUGCACCAUUCAUCCUCCAACAUGCUAGGCUGAAACAACAGAAUUAAUGACUUACUUCUAUUCUAAACAUUCUAAAGACUAACAGAAAGAUGCAGUAUCCAUGUGCUACCUGUUACUUUUUUUAUAAAAAAAACAACACUACCCAUGCAUGUAGUAAGUCUGUAUUUUGUUUUAAAAACUAAAACAUUUCCAACAGACACACCCAUCUUUUGUUAUCGUGAAAGAUAGCCAUCUUAAAAUUCUUGAAGAGAUGUGUUACCACGUGAAACUGAAGGCUGUUGUACAAAGUUUACACAAUUUUCAGUUUCACUUGAGGUAAAGUUUAUAAAGACAAAAGGAAAUCAAAGCUACAGGAAGAAGACACAAAUUCUCCACUUUUGUUAAUUUGUUCUGCAUUAUAACACUGGCUCCUCACAUGAAAUUUCAGAUGCCACAAGAUCUGCAUGCUAAAAACCCCACCAGCAUCCAACUGUUACCUCUGGGAGUAUGAAGCCAAGAACAGAGGAGAUUAAAGUGCAUCCUCAACGCGACGGAAAACAAACUUUUUGGUCUGCAGACUUGUGCAGAAAGAUUCAAAUAUGUAUACAACAUGCUGGAGAGAAGGGAGGGGGAAACAUGUUCUGUGCUCUCAAAAUCAGCUAAUCUCCUGAAUAGCUGGAAAGCGCCGCUUCCCAGAAAUUAACCCUUUGGCUUCCUGAUCUUUAUGCCAAGAAAACGCCGCUUAAACGGGGAGGGAAUAAAUAUUAAAGCGAUCAUCAGUUACCUUUAAAACUCUUUGCUUCCUCCUCUGAGGCCUUUUGUUUUCAGUUAGAACCUAAAAAAACAUCAAAUCGCAGAAUAAGUUGCGGUCACAAAGGCGAGACAACCUCCGAUUAUUUUUGAUUUUUUUUUUUUUUAUUAUUAUUAUUACCAAACUGCAACAUCUCUGCAGUGCCCAGGAUGCUGCUCACAGGCGGCACUCGGGCGGGCUGACGAGGCCCCCUCCACCGCCGCCGGAGAGGGGCCGAGGGGAGAGGCCCGGCCCCCCGCAGCCGGCCCCGCAGCUGCCGCCCCGCAUUCCUCACCGCGGCGCCCCCCGGGCGGCCAUCUUGCUUCCUGCCGCACUGCCGGGGGCGCGCCCGCACCCCGCCGCGGGAGCGCGCGCGGGCCGGCCCCAGCCAAUGGGGCGGCGGGAGGCGGGAGGCAGCGGGUGUCCCGUCCGGCCCCCCCGCACCGCCCCCCGCGCCCCAACCCGCGCCGGCCCUGCCCGAACAAAGGGUCUCCCGCGCGGCCGCCCGCAAGAGGCGGCGCCGGACUCGCCGCGCCGGCGGAUGCGGAGCCGGCGCGUGCACGGUGCGGGGCUGUGGGCCCCCGCGAGGCGCGGCCGCGUGCGGGGGUCAGGCGAGGACACGGCCCCCGCGCCCCCGCCGCCAUGCACGCGCAGAGGUGCGGGCGUGCGCGCCCCCGGGCGCAGGCGUGUGCGCGCGCAGGCGGGCACCGGGCCGCGAGGCGUGGGACGAUGCGCUGCGAGCAGGGACCCGGACCCCCGGGGGGGGGGGGGGGGUCUCUGCCCCCCCUCGCACCCCGGCUCUUCCCGGCAAGAGUGGAAAUCGCCGCUCAGCGGAGGCAGCUGCACCUCCCUCUGUGCACAGGCAAGGGCCUGCCUUCCCGGGCUGCCCAGAGGCAAGGGAACCGCAGCUCAGCAGCACCAGCCCCCUCCGAACACUCUGCCUGGGGCUGGGCACCCAGCACCCCCCGAGAGCCGAAGGUUCUCACAGACCCUGCCUGCCCUCACCUGCUGCCUGCAGCCCACACGGCCCCGCCGCAGGAUCAGGCUCCA